RNAcentral lists this ribosomal RNA (607 nucleotides) under Hydnellum sp. DSH 96-008. RNAcentral describes it as "partial 12S ribosomal RNA". It matches the Rfam family "Bacterial small subunit ribosomal RNA", at positions 404 to 920 of the family's 1533-position model. The record is from RNAcentral. Lineage: Eukaryota; Fungi; Basidiomycota; Agaricomycetes; Thelephorales; Thelephoraceae.
CAUGAACUACUAACUGAAAUCAUACUAAUUUCAAGUAUGAUAACGUAAGGGAAGAUAAUGACAUUACCUUACUAUUAGUGUUGUCAAAAAUUGGUGCCAGAAGACUCGGUAAGGCCAAAAACGCAAACGUUAGUCGUCUUAAUCAGGCGUAAAGGGUGUGUAGGCUGCUUUAAAUUUUUAUUUUAUUACUUUAAUUAAAAUUAUUUUUGUUUUUUUUAAUAAAAAAAAGAAGAAUUUAAGUAAUUUAGACUAGUUUUUUUUUUAAAUAAGUCAAAAUAAAAAAAAUUUAAAAAAAUCAUUAAGUAAAAUAAAAAGAAUAAAAGCUAGAAUCAAAUAGAGGAUAUUUUAAAUAAUACUUAGAGGAGGGGUGAUAUCCUUAGAUACUAAGUAGAGUAUUAAUGGUGAAAACUUUUAUCUAUUAAUGAUUGACGCUGAGAAACGAAGGUGAGGAUAGGAAAUAGGAUUAGAGACCCAGAUACCCCUCUCUGUCAACGAUGAAUGGUGGUUGCUAGUUAAUUAAAUAAUUGGUGACUAUGUUAACACGAUAACCAUUUCCGCCAUGUGAGUACGACUGCCAAAGUUGAAAACAAAAAAAUUAGUCGGUCUC